This 790-nucleotide ribosomal RNA is filed under the name uncultured Bacteroidota bacterium. RNAcentral's name for it is "bacterial SSU rRNA". It matches the Rfam family "Bacterial small subunit ribosomal RNA", at positions 8 to 794 of the family's 1533-position model. The record is from RNAcentral. Lineage: Bacteria; Pseudomonadati; Bacteroidota.
AGAGUUUGAUCAUGGCUCAGGAUGAACGCUAGCGGCAGGCUUAACACAUGCAAGUCGAACGGUAACAUUUCUCGCUUGCGAGAAGAUGACGAGUGGCGCACGGGUGCGUAACGCGUAUACAAUCUGCCUUUUACAAAGGGAUAGCCCAUGGAAACGUGGAUUAAUACUUUAUAAUAUCAUUUUAUGGGAUCAUAAGAUGAUCAAAGAUUUAUCGGUAAGAGAGGAGUAUGCGUGACAUUAGCUAGUUGGUGAGGUAACGGGCCACCAAGGCUACGAUGUCUAGGGGUUCUGAGAGGAUGAUCCCCCCACUGGUACUGAGACACGGACAGACUCUUACGGGAGGCAGCAGUGAGGAAUAUUGGGGAAUGGAGGAAACUUUGACGCAGCCUGGCCGCGUGAAGGAAUGAAUGCCCUACGGGUUGUAAAUUUUUUUUAUAUGGGAAGAAACUUUUCUACGUGUAGAAAACUGACGGUACCUACGAAUAAGCACCGGCUAACUCCGUGGCCAGCAGCCGCGGUAAUACGGAGGGUGCAAGCGUUAUCCGGAUUCAUUGGGUUUAAAGGGUACGUAGGCGGAUAGAUAAGUUAGUGGUGAAAUCCCGAAGCUCAACUUCGGAACUGCCUUAAAACUGUCUAUCUUGAAUUUGGUUGAAGUGGGCGGAAUAUGACAUGUAGCGGUGAAAUGCAUAGAUAUGUCAUGGAACACAAUAGUGAAGACAGCUCACUAAGCCCAUAUUGACGCUGAGGUACGAAAGCAUGGGUAGCGAACAGGAUUAGAUACCCUGGUAGU